Molecule: ribosomal RNA, 171 nt
Filed under: uncultured bacterium
Lineage: Bacteria
Description: partial 16S ribosomal RNA
Rfam family: Bacterial small subunit ribosomal RNA
Source: RNAcentral
UCCUACGGGAGGCAGCAGUGGGGAAUAUUGCACAAUGGGCGAAAGCCUGACGCAGCAACGCCGCGUGAGGGAUGACGGCCUUCGGGUUGUAAACCUCUUUCAGCAGGGACGAAGCGAAAGUGACUGUACCUGCAGAAGAAGCGCCGGCUAACUACGUGCCAGCAGGUAAUA